GUGCCCGCUUCGGCAGCACCUAUACUAAAAUUGGAACGAUACAGAGAAGAUUAGCAUGGCCCUGUGCAACAUCUUCUGAGAUGGUAAAUGGAAAACAAAACCAACACUGU
Sphaerodactylus townsendi is the source of this 110-nucleotide small nuclear RNA. The record is from RefSeq and is a predicted model, not a curated record. NCBI's taxonomy places the organism in Eukaryota, Metazoa, Chordata, Lepidosauria, Squamata, Sphaerodactylidae.